This 65-nucleotide transfer RNA is filed under the name Dipodomys ordii (Ord's kangaroo rat). It matches the Rfam family "tRNA". Rfam says of the family: Transfer RNA (tRNA) molecules are approximately 80 nucleotides in length. Lineage: Eukaryota; Metazoa; Chordata; Mammalia; Rodentia; Heteromyidae. The record is from Rfam by way of RNAcentral.
GGUGGCUCAGUGGUAGAGUACAUGCCUUGCAUGCAUGAGGCCCUGGGUUCAAUUCCUCAGCACCA